RNAcentral lists this non-coding RNA (225 nucleotides) under Clostridium chauvoei. Its description in RNAcentral is "T-box sequence". It matches the Rfam family "T-box leader". From Rfam's summary of the family: Uncharged tRNA acts as the effector for transcription antitermination of genes in the T-box leader family. The record is from RNAcentral. Lineage: Bacteria; Bacillati; Bacillota; Clostridia; Eubacteriales; Clostridiaceae.
GUAAAGACAGUGAAUGAGAGAGUAGAUAUAAUAAAUUUUUCAGGGAGAAAUGGUCUUAGACUGAAAGCCAUUUUAAAAGGAAUUAUAUUGAAGUUCCCUCAGGAGUCCUAGCUAUGAAAUUAUAGUAGUUGCUAGCGGUAGUACCGUUAUUUAAAUUAAGUUGGGUUUUAAAUAUUAUAAAUUUAAAACCAAUUAGGGUGGUAACGCGGAUACUCCGUCCCUUUA